Molecule: ribosomal RNA, 253 nt
Filed under: uncultured bacterium
Lineage: Bacteria
Description: partial 16S ribosomal RNA
Rfam family: Bacterial small subunit ribosomal RNA
Source: RNAcentral
UACGUAGGGGGCAAGCGUUGUCCGGAAUCAUUGGGCGUAAAGAGCGUGUAGGCGGCCCGGUAAGUCCGCUGUGAAAGUCCAGGGCUCAACCCUGGGAUGCCGGUGGAUACUGUCGGGCUCGAGUCCGGAAGAGGAGUGUGGAAUUCCUGGUGUAGCGGUGAAAUGCGCAGAUAUCAGGAGGAACACCAAUGGCGAAGGGAGCACUCUGGGACGUGACUGACGCUGAGACGCGAAAGCGUGGGGAGCAAACAGG